CAGUUUAAAUUUUUAUAGUUAAAAAUUUCAUUUACAUUGAAAAUCAAUUUGUGCAAAUCAAAUUAAAUUGA
RNAcentral lists this transfer RNA (71 nucleotides) under Pseudolycoriella sp. XQM-2020. Its description in RNAcentral is "tRNA-Val". The record is from RNAcentral. Lineage: Eukaryota; Metazoa; Arthropoda; Insecta; Diptera; Sciaridae.